Mustela lutreola (European mink) is the source of this 5594-nucleotide long non-coding RNA. RefSeq lists it as uncharacterized. The record is from RefSeq and is a predicted model, not a curated record. NCBI's taxonomy places the organism in Eukaryota, Metazoa, Chordata, Mammalia, Carnivora, Mustelidae. The transcript has 2 exons.
UCCUGCCCCACUCCCCACAGGCACACACACAACUCAGAUCGGCAUAGACCCGGGGCCGCCCAUUUAAGCACGAUUUCGGGUCUUUACAGCAGAUUUCAAUUAUCAAGAAUCCAGGAGGAGCACAAGCUCAUGCUUAAGAAUGCAGUAUUCAGUGUUGCCAGAGGCCAGCACUAUUUGAGGGAAGGAGAAAAAUCUGCGGAUUAACUCACAAUAUAGGUCCUAAAAUCUAAAAUCUUGGUUGGUGCUUGUGUAUUUAACAAAUCAGAGCCAAACUGGAUUGAAUUCUGGAAAGUGUGAAUAAGCCAGGUGAAUCCAACUGGGCUUUGAAUCCCUCUUCUCUCUCCCUUAGCUCCAAAUGAGAUCCAAAGCAACACAGUGAGAUGACAUCUGAGACAUCUGAUCUACCUGUGCCUGGCACAAGACACCUUGGGGCUCUAUAGAUGAGUGCUGACUACACAAUUUAAAUUCUUGGCCUGCACACUUGUCUGUGAUUCACAGUCAAAGCUGCAAGCACAGUUAUGCCUACUGAUGCCUGACAGGUGACAAUAAUUCCUCAUGCCUGGGUAGUUACAGGUGAUGUGCAGAAGACACAGAGGCACAUGGCUCCACCAAGACCCCAGCAGACUUCUCAUUCUGACAGUCACAGUUUGCUAUAGUCCAUGUUUAUUUAAAACUAUGAAAAUGGCCAUUUUCCCAUGGACAAAAACUGCCAUGGGUAGAGUGACCACAUAAUUUAGUGUUUAGGCCAAGAGAGUUUUGAGAGUGAAAAGGGAAGAAAUGAAUAAAUAUCAUGAGAAAAGAGCAUUAAUGGGACUGGGCAAAUUGUGAUGUAUGGUGACUUGAACCAUAAGCCCCAGUGUCUAGCAAAGGAAGACCUUAAAUCUCUAGGGAAGCCCCUCGAGGUGGGAACAUGAAGAGCAGGGCAUUGGAGUUUUCCCCAAAGGAAAUUGAGGCUCAGAGAUUUAAGGGAUUUCCCUGCAGUUAACAGGCUUAUCAAUGGCACAACCAGAAAUGCAUCCAUAUUUGUAGGUAGAGUCACAGUUCUUUCAAUACACCACGGUAACCCAUUGCCCUUGGAUUCUGCUUCCCAACACCUCACAGCUCUGGUAUGGUUUCUUACAAUCCCCUCAUUUGCCUCUUCUUUUUCAGUAAUAUAAAUUUUCCCUACUACAUGAGUAAUAAAUGGUCACUGUAGAAAAUUUGGAUAUUGUAAAACAGCAUAAAGAAAAAAAUCAAUUGUUAUUUUACUGUCAAGGAAUACGUCCUGGUAUAUGACCUGUUACCCUUUUCUCUAGAUUUGUGUUCUGUGUGUGUGUGAAUGUGUGCAGUAAUAUUUUUGAGCUGUUCCCAGUUCCUCUUGUCUUAUUUUUCUGUAUAUAACCCUUUUCCUUCCCUCUCUACUUGAAGCAGAUAGAAGCCUUGUUGCUCAUUGCCCCAGGGGAGAAAUGAACUAGGCAAAAAAACAGAAAAUAAGGAGAAUUUGGUUUCCAAAAGCCUGAGCCCAUCAAGAAUAUUAUUCUCAUAACCUCUGAGGCAAAUCACAGUGUUUCUCUCCUUUCCAAUAUUUAUACUCCAUAUUUCUUUCUGUUGAUGUACUGUUGAUUAAGAGUUCCAGGAAAAUAUUAAAAAGUUGUGAUGAGAGCAAGCUCCCAUGCCUAGGUCUGACUUUAAUAUCCAGGUUGCCCAAUUAAAUGUGAUAUCUGCCAAUUAGACAUAAAUAUUCUUUCUCUCAUUAAGGAAGUCUCUUAUUCUUUUUGCUAAGAAGUUUUGUUUUAACAUUUUUUGUGAAAAAUCAACAGCAACAUUGAAAAUUGUCAAGUGGAUUUGGCCUCUAGGAAAAUAAUCAUGCAACUCAUUCUUCUGUUUAUGAAGAUAAUGAAUUAUAUCAAUAGAUGUUCUAUCAGCCAACCAUUUUAGAAUUCCUGAUUUUGCUGUGUUCUUUGUUUAAACAAGCUGCUGUAUUUGACUUGUACUCAAGUCAAAAGUAAUUUUGGCUUAUAUUUUUCAGUUUUACAAGUACCAAGUUUAUAUUCUUGAGGGAUAUGUAGAAUCAUAAAAUAAAUUAGAAAACUUUCCUUAUUUUCUAGCUAUGUAACAGGAAUUAUUUUUCUUAAAAACCAUUUAAAACUUGUUCAUCAAACUUUUGGGUUUGGAGCUUUUGUUAGAGGUAAUAUUCUGACACCUUCUGCUUUACUCAUAAUUUAUUGACUAAUUAAGAAUUUUUAUUUCCUCUUUUGUCAAUUUUAUUACUUAAAAUUUUUCUGCAUAAAUGACCAUUGCAUUGAGAAUUUCAAAUUGAUUAGCAUAGAAUUACAAACAGUUCCUACUAGAUUUCUCUGGUGGUCUAGUUUAGUAUAUUUUUUGGUUCGGGGCGCCUGGGUAGCUCAGUGGGUUAGGCCGCUGCCUUCGGCUUGGGUCAUGAUCUCAAGGUCCUGGGAUCAAGCCCCGCAUCAGGCUCUCUGCUCAGUGGGGAGCCUGCUUCCCUCUCUCUCUCUCUCUCUCUCUGCCUGCCUCUCUGCCUACUUGUGAUCUCUACCUGUCAAAUGGGUGGAUGAAUAAAAACUUAAAAAAAAAAGCAUAUUUUUUGGUUAAACUUUUAGUGAUUUGGUACUUGAUCAUUUUUUGCAAAGAAUCAGUUCUUAGGGGUGCCCAGGUGGCUCAUCAGUUGAGCAUCUGACUCUGGAUUUUGGCUUGGAUAGUGAUCUCAAAGUUGUGAAAUUGAGCUGCAUGUCUGCUCUGCACUGGGUGUGGAGCCUGCUUGGGAUUCAGUCUCUCCUUCUGCCCUCUGUCCUUCCUCCCCAUUCCCCUACACCAUCCCACUCAUGCACUCUCUCUCUUUCUUAAAAAAAAAAAAAAAAAAAAAAAAGAAUCAAUUCUUAGAUUUAAUACUAAUUCUCUAUUAAAAUUUCAGUUUGCUUUUAUUAUCUUUUAUUAUUUUUUUCUUAUUUCUUUCCUUUUGGGGAUGGUAUAGUGGAGAUGUUUCCUGUUUUAACUUAAGUGAAAUUUAUUUACCUUUUCACUUAUUAAAAAUGAAAUGAUUUAAUGUUUUUUAAUUUCUCAUCUAUGAGCUAUUGUUUUUGUCUACUGAACCCGCUACUUCCAGGGUUAGCUAAAGCCUUAGUGAAAACUCAUGAGCUCCCAGUGUAAGAGUCCUAGAACAGCCCUCCUCGGCUUUCCUGAGACACCUGGCAUCUUCUUGACUUUCAGUUCCUUGUGUUACAUCAGGAUCAUCUCAAUAUAUCCCUCUGUUUCAUAUAAUCUGAUCAGGUUUUGUUGCUUAACCAUGCAACUGACAGAAUAUUCUUAAUUUUAGUUUUGCAUCUCGACCCAAGUAUUACGUACUGUACAUUCUAAUUCCUAAGCAAUGGGGACUUUUAUUUUAUAAUUUUGCCAUUAAUUUCUAUUUUUUCUUGCAUUAUUUCAGAAUGUGGACUGUAUAAUUUCUGAUUCAAGCUUUUUUUAAAUCCAUUUUCUCUGUAGCCUAACGUGUGACCAUUUAAAUAAAUAGUUCAGGAUAUUGGAGGAAAAGGUGAAGAUUUAGGGUAGAAAGAUAUUUAUUAAUCAAUAUUAUUGCAUUACUAAGAUUCUCCAGCCUUAUGCAUGCCUUGUUUAUCAUUUAUCAAGAACUGAAAGGGUUGUGCUCCCAAAUUGUACCCAGCUUCCUUUUUAUUAUAUAGGCUAUUAUUUUCCCCCCAGUGCUGUUGAAACAUAAUUGACACACAGUACUGUGUAAGCUUAAGGUGUACUACGUGGGGGGCUUGAUUUACAUACAUUGUAAAAUAAUUAUCACAAUAAGUUUAGUUAACAGUCAUUAUCUCAUAUAGAUACAAAGAAAGAAAAAUAUUUUUUCAUUGUGAUGAGAACUCUUAGGAUUGACUCUCUUCAUAACUCCCCUAUAUAUCACGUGGCGGUGUUCAUUAUAGUUAGCUUGUUGUACAUCACAUGCCCAGUAUUAUAACUGGAAGUUUGUGUCUUUUGACUACUCUUGUAUGUGCCUUUUGACCUCACCCCUCCCACCCCUUUCCCCACUACUGGGGAGUUUUUUAUUUUUUAAAUUUCAGAUAUUAGUGAAGUCAUACAGUAUUUAUCUUCUCCCAUUCAGUAGUCUUUUCAUUUUGUUGAUGGUUUCCUUUGCUGUGCAAAAGCUUUUUAUUUUGAUGUAGUCCCUGUAGUUUAUUUUUGCUUUUGUUUCCCUUGUCUGAAAAGACUUAUCUAGAAAAGUGUUGUGUGGCUGAUGACAAGGAGAUUACUGCCUAUUCUCUUCUAGAAGAUUUAUGGUUUGUCAUCUCGUCUCUUUAAUCAUGGCCAUCUACCAGGCUUGAGAUGAUAUCUCAUUGUGGUUUUGAUUUGUACUUCAACUAAUGAUGAGUGAUGUUGAGCACCUUUUCAUGUACCUCUUGGCCAUUCAUAUAGUUUCAGAAAAAUGCCUAUUCAUAAUAUGUAUGUUACAUGAGUUCUCUAUAAGAUUUGAAAUAUUAAUCCCUUAUCAAAUAUAUGAGUCACAAAUAUUUUUCCCAUUCCAUAAGAUAUCUUUUCACUGCAUUGUUCGUGACUUUGUAGUUGAUGUAGUCCCACUUGUUUGUUAUCUUGUUGCCUGUAUUUUAGGUGUCAUAAUAAAAAAAAUAUUGCCAAGACCCAUGUCAAAAAAUAUUUACAUUUAUGUAUUCUUUUAGGAGUUUUAUGGUUUCCAGUCUUUAUGCUUAUUUAAAGUACACAGUGUGAUGAGUGUUGGUGAAUUCACACCACUCCAAUUGAGAUGUAUGUUUCCAUCAUCCCUAAACACAUUCUCCUGGCCAUUGCAGUCAGUGCUUCCACCUGACUGCAAGCAUCUGCUGCUCUGCUUUCUGCCUCCAUAAAUUAGUUUGUCUCUUCUAGAAUUUCAUAUAAGUGGAAUUAUAUAGUAUGCAAUCUUUUGUAUCUUUCUUCAUCAAGCAUAAUGCUUUUGAGAUUCAUCUGUGUUGUUGCAUGUGUCAGUUCAUUCUUUUUUAUUGAGAAGUAGUAUCCCAUUGUAUGAAUAUACUAUAAUUGAUUUACUCAUCCACCUGUUGAUAAAUAUUUGUACUUCUAUUUUUUGAGAUAUUAUGAAUAAAACAGUAUGACCAUUCACAUAUAUCUUUCUGUAGACUUACAUGUUCAUUUCUGUUGAAUAUGGAAUGGAAUUGGAAUUAGGAAUGGAGUUGCUGGAUCAUAUAAUAAGGAUGUAUUUGAUUUUAUUUUUUUAAAAAGAUGAAAUUGUUUUCCAAAUUUGCUGUACCAUUUUCACUCACACCAGUGAUGUAUGUGAUUUCCAGUUGCUCCAGAUCCUCAGCAAUAGCUGGUAUUUUCAGAUUUUCUGGUUCUAUCCAUUGUAAUGGGUGUAUAGCCUAUCUCGUUGUGGUUUUAAUUUAUAUUUGCCUGAUGACUAAUGAUGUGAGGCAUCUUUUCAAAACCCAUUGUAUUUGUCACUUAUCAUCUUUUGCAAAAUGUGUGUUCAAAUUAUUUGCCCAUUGUUUCACUGGGUGGUUUGUCUUACUAUUAUUAAGUUUUAAAAUUCUUUAUUUACUCCAGAUACAAUUCCACUGUCAUAUAUAUCCAUUAAAAAUAUUUUCUCCCAG